AUGACCAAGCAGGGUAUUAUACCCUUUAUAGUCAUGAAGGGUAGCAGAGUCGUUAUGAUGCGCGAUGAUGCCUACAGCCAGAGAUGGGUCGACUCAUUUAGCUUUUUGCCCAUGCGGUUGGCUAAAGCACCGGAGGCGUUGGAUUUUGAAGAUAUGGCGAAAGGUCAUUUUCCUCAUAAAUUGAACACACGGGCCAACGAGUCUUAUGUCGGUGCAUACCCUGAGAUCUCAUAUUAUGGUUAUGCUUCCAUGACUAGCGAUCAAAAGACAGAUUUCGCUAUAUGGUACAGAUCUGUAAGGCACAAAAAAUGUGACAUUCAGAAACAGCUGCGCCGCUACUGUGUCAACGAUGUGAGGAUCCUGCACACGGCGUGUGGGAUCUACAGGGAAAAUUUCAUAGAGUGUGCAACUAUAGACCCCUUUGCAUAUGCCACUCUGGCUUCGGCGUGCAUGGCCACCUUCAAAAAGUCGUUCUUGAAAAAAAACGUCUUGGCAUUGACCUACGAGGGGGUCUAUCGGAAAAAGCAAAAGUCGUUCUCAUGUGCAUCCAUCCAGUGGCUUGAAUAUCUAUCCCACUCCAAUAACCUGGAGAUUCAGCACGCUCUCAAGCACGGGGAGGCUGAAUUUGGUCCAUUCUUCCUAGAUGGAUAUGCACCUGCUAUAAACACAGCCUAUGAAUUUGCAGGAUGCUUUUAUCAUGGGUGUGAACGGUGCUACAACGCUGGUCAUAAGAAUCCUGUCGUCAAAAAGACCUAUGGUGAAUUAUGGUUGCAGUUUCACCUCAAAGUCACGGCCCUCAAAAGAGAUCAUGGUUUAAGAGUUGUAGUCAUGUGGGAGUGUGAGUGGCACAGACUGAAAAAGACAGAUGCUGCAGUGCAGGCAUUCUUGGCUACUCUGAAGAUACAACCCAGGAUUGAUCCUCGCGACUCUCUCUAUGGGGGUCGCACCAAUGCCAUCAAAAUGUACCACAAGGCCGAGCCCGGUGAAAAAAUACGCUACUAUGACUUUACAUCUCUCUACCCCACAGUACAGACCCGCUGUCCAUAUCCUAUAGGACACCCCAAGAUCAUUUUCAGGAAUUUUGGUCCUUUGGAUGGGUAUUUCGGCGUCGUCAAAUGCACUGUGUUGCCCCCCAGAGGUCUUUACCAUCCUGUGCUCCCUUACAGGUGUCCUGGGCAGCUGAUGUUUCCCCUCUGUGGUACAUGCGCCACUGAGCUCAAUCAGACAGACGCAUGUCAUCACGGCGAUGAUGAAAGGGCUCUGACAGGUACAUGGGUGACUUUAGAGGUAGAAAAGGCCGUGGAAAAGGGGUACGUGAUAAUACAGAUGCAUGAAGUAUGGCACUACCCCAAGUGGUCAAAGUCUCUGUUUAAAGGGUAUGUCAAAACGUUUCUCAAGCGUAAACAGGAGGCUUCAGGAUACCCCAGCACAGUGGAUACUGUGGAGAAACAGCAGGCGUAUGUGCAAAACUAUCUGGUUAAGGAAGGCAUACAGCUGGAUCACGACAACAUGAGCGUUAACAAAGCCAUGCGUAAUUGCAACAAGUUGAUUCUCAACAGCCUGUGGGGUCGCUUUUCGCUACGCCCAGACCUACCCACUUGUGAGCUAAUUGCUGCACCUGAAAGGUUCACCCAGCUCAUGUUCAGUGACAGCUAUCACAUUAGCCACUUUUGUUUUGUUUCUGAUGAGGUGGCCCUUGUACAAUGGAAACACAAAGAUGCCCGUCUCGAAAGGGCUCGGGAUGUUAACGUGAUUGUGGGGGCUGUGACUACGGCCCAUGCCAGGCUCAUGCUCUAUGACCUUCUAGACAAAUUACAGGAGCGUAUCCUCUAUUGUGACACAGACAGCAUCAUUUUUGUUUCUAAGGAGGGUGAUUGGGUACCCCCUUUAGGUCCUUAUCUGGGCGACUUGACCGACGAGAUAAAUGAUGGCGAUCGGUAUGGUACCGAGCAGGAGGAUUACAUUAGCGAAUAUGUCUCAACAGGUCCUAAAAGCUAUGCCUACCACACACGUCAGCACAAGUCUGUAGUCAAAUGCAAAGGGGUGACUUUAAAUGCAGCAAAUGCUAAAGUGGUCACCCAGCAGACACUGAAAUGUCUAAUAGAUGAUUUUGUCAACAAUCGACCGCAAACCCGCGACAUCACCACCACGGUAGAUACCAUUCAAAGGAAUAAGAAUAAGCUUCUGCUUAAAAACGCUACUGUGGUUAAACGACUUAGGGUGGUUUACAACAAACGCAGGGUUUUUCCCGACUACACCACGCUUCCUUACGGCUAUUAA
Long non-coding RNA from Gadus morhua (Atlantic cod), 2280 nucleotides. The record is from Ensembl. NCBI's taxonomy places the organism in Eukaryota, Metazoa, Chordata, Actinopteri, Gadiformes, Gadidae.